GUGCAUUAAUUUUAAGAUUGCUAGGUGGGACAACCACAUAUCACAGGCAUAGAAAGUACAUGUUUGCAUCAGAAAGACACGGACAGACAGAUAGACAGACAUACAGACAGGUUAAUUUCUCAACAACAUCAGAAAUGAAAGAAAGACAAAGAAAAAGCCAUUCGUCUCCACCUCUAUUGCCAUGGAGACCAAUCAACUCGGCAGGAGCCUAUGUGAAAGACCAUAAUCUGAGAUGCGCAGGACAGAAGCCUGCCAACCGCACCCCUGUAAUAAUAAUACAAUAAUAUAGAGAUCUGAAGUCUGGAUGCAGGCCGUUCAUCAUAAUGUAAUACGAUUCUGAAGUCAUUCAUGUGUUUGAAAUAUUUUAGUCGGUCAGAUUUUUUCCAAAGAACACUUGAAAUGAUUCGUAUUACCGUUUCAAAUUUGAAUUAUCAUCAAAACCGUGGUAAUGAAACGUGUGUUUUGUUGUGUGUGAAAACAUGGCGGAAGGCAGUGAUAGCGCCGGGAGAUUUUUCAGCCUUCGAAGAGGACCAAAUCUGAAGUGUGGUCGUAUUUCUGGUUUUACAAGAGUGCCGAGGGAAACUUAAUCGAAGAUGGUCACCCUGUCUGCAGAACAUGCAAAACCAAUCGCUGCGAAAGGGGGCAACACUUAAAAUAUCUUGAGUCAUAUUCGUGAUCACCACCCACUACGUUAUAGCCUACACAAGAGUGGGCGAGCAGCAAGCAAACCCUGUGAUGCUACUGGUCCCUCCUCAUCUACAUUUGUGACACAGACACUCCAGCUAACAUGUAUAAGGCAGGCUGCUUAUGCACCCACAUCAAAAAUGCUCAAGACCUCAUUGCAAAGGACAUGAUGCCAUUUCAAUUUGUUGAGAGGCCUGGCUUUCUGAGGCUGAUGAGGGUUGACGUGCCUCAAUACAAAGUCAGUGCUGCUAAUUGUAUUGGUUGUUUGUUUAUUUGAUUUGCUUACUUAAGGUUGUGUUCAUUUAAAUCUGCACUAGGGGGUUUGUUUACCUCUCAUGGCCACAUGGUGGCAUCUUUAAUGUUAACGUUAUUAUUUGAAUGUUUAUGCACACACACAUUUCAUAGUGCUGCUAGUUUUAUUUGUUGUUUAUUGGUUUUCAAUAUAAAACUUGGUGAAAUGA
Oncorhynchus gorbuscha (pink salmon) is the source of this 1145-nucleotide long non-coding RNA. RefSeq lists it as uncharacterized. The record is from RefSeq and is a predicted model, not a curated record. Lineage: Eukaryota; Metazoa; Chordata; Actinopteri; Salmoniformes; Salmonidae. The transcript is spliced from 2 exons.